RNAcentral lists this unclassified non-coding RNA (234 nucleotides) under plant metagenome. RNAcentral's name for it is "partial contains small subunit ribosomal RNA, internal transcribed spacer 1, and 5.8S ribosomal RNA". The record is from RNAcentral.
UUUCCGUAGGUGGACCUGCGGAAGGAUCAUUAAUGUGUUUGGGCCUCACGGCUCUUCAUUCCGACGCUGUGCGCCUUCGGGCUGCACGCUGAGGGAGCAUAUAUCCACCCCUGUGCACACACACGGUGGCGAGCUGGGUAACGGCUCGCCGCUGAUCUUUACACACGUCUAAAAGUCAUUGUAUGUUUAUUUGAGAUAAAAACACAACUUUCAGCAACGGAUCUCUUGGCUCUC